UGAGGAAUAUUGGUCAAUGGACGAGAGUCUGAACCAGCCAAGUAGCGUGAAGGAUGACUGCCCUAUGGGUUGUAAACUUCUUUUAUACGGGAAUAAAGUUAGCCACGUGUGGCUUUUUGUAUGUACCGUAUGAAUAAGGAUCGGCUAACUCCAUGCCAGCAGCCGCGGUAAUACGGAGGAUCCGAGCGUUAUCCGGAUUUAUUGGGUUUAAAGGGAGCGUAGGCGGGUUGUUAAGUCAGUUGUGAAAGUUUGCGGCUCAACCGUAAAAUUGCAGUUGAUACUGGCGACCUUGAGUGCAACAGAGGUAGGCGGAAUUCGUGGUGUAGCGGUGAAAUGCUUAGAUAUCACGAAGAACUCCGAUUGCGAAGGCAGCUUACUGGAUUGUAACUGACGCUGAUGCUCGAAAGUGUGGGUAUCAAACAGGAUUAGAUACCCUGGUAGUCCACACAGUAAACGAUGAAUACUCGCUGUUGGCGAUAUACGGUCAGCGGCCAAGCGAAAGCAUUAAGUAUUCCACCUGGGGAGUACGCCGGCAACGGUGAAACUCAAAGGAAUUGACGGGGGCCCGCACAAGCGGAGGAACAUGUGGUUUAAUUCGAUGAUACGCGAGGAACCUUACCCGGGCUUAAAUUGCAACUGACUGAACCGGAAACGGUUCUUUCUUCGGACAGUUGUGAAGGUGCUGCAUGGUUGUCGUCAGCUCGUGCCGUGAGGUGUCGGCUUAAGUGCCAUAACGAGCGCAACCCUUAUCGAUAGUUACUAGCAGGUCAUGCUGAGGACUCUAUUGAGACUGCCGUCGUAAGAUGUGAGGAAGGUGGGGAUGACGUCAAAUCAGCACGGCCCUUACGUCCGGGGCUACACACGUGUUACAAUGGGGGGUACAGAAGGCAGCUACACGGCGACGUGGUGCUAAUCCCGAAAGCCUCUCUCAGUUCGGAUUGGAGUCUGCAACCCGACUCCAUGAAGCUGGAUUCGCUAGUAAUCGCGCAUCAGCCACGGCGCGGUGAAUACGUUCCC
RNAcentral lists this ribosomal RNA (1017 nucleotides) under uncultured bacterium. RNAcentral describes it as "bacterial SSU rRNA". It matches the Rfam family "Bacterial small subunit ribosomal RNA", at positions 355 to 1375 of the family's 1533-position model. The record is from RNAcentral.